This is a long non-coding RNA of Papaver somniferum (opium poppy), 191 nucleotides long. RefSeq lists it as uncharacterized. The transcript has 3 exons. Lineage: Eukaryota; Viridiplantae; Streptophyta; Magnoliopsida; Ranunculales; Papaveraceae. The record is from RefSeq and is a predicted model, not a curated record.
AUAGGCUUGAUAAUGAUCUAAUGCAUCAGCAAUUUGCUCUAGUUUACGUUUUGCCGACACGGAUGCAGCACCAAUUGCAGACCCUCUCAUGUCAUCAACACUAGAACCAGCACCAAUUACCUGGCUUUGGGAGAAAUGGAAUGAAGUGGCCGUUGCUUCAUGAGGAGAAAAGAAUUCAAGAUGAAAUUCAG